Molecule: non-coding RNA, 753 nt
Organism: Biomphalaria pfeifferi
Lineage: Eukaryota; Metazoa; Mollusca; Gastropoda; Planorbidae
Source: the annotation of a GenBank genome assembly
GCUUCGUUUCUUUCAUUCAUUUUGUUUCAAAUUUAUUUCUUUACUUUAUUUCUCUGUAUAUCACAGUUAAGUGUUUUCCAUUCUUGCCACCCCUCCCCCUGAAACGCCCCUGUCUCUUUGUUAAACUUGAACAUGGAUUUAGAUUUGAACUUGUUGAUACACGUAGCACGGGGCGUGAUGGUAGAGGAAGAAGUCCAAUGGAUGUGGUCCUGAGGGUCUCCGGUCUGAUUUCCAGAUUUCCAUUUGGGUACUUAGGGCCUAAUACUUUAAAGUAGGGUUAUUGGUAUAGUUGCUUACUUUUUUUGGUUCACUGAAUCAAGUUUUGAAAUGUUGCAGUAAUUUACAAUUGUAAAAUGUACAAGUCUGUCAUUUGAAUCUGUUUGUACUUGGAAAAGCAAAUCGUGUUCCAGGUUUCUAGUGCAAAGAACUUGCGACAAUUUUUGCUUGUUUUGAUAGAAAUUAUGUGAAAUCAGCUCGGGCCCACCGAAUCUAAAAGUCAUAUUGUAUUGCUUCUCUCACAACCUUGUCGGACACAUAGCCAGCCUGGGUCUUUUUCUUGUUCAAUUCAGACACAAAUUUAGGCCUAGUAGUCGGCAGCUAAAAUUCAUAUUUAUUUGAUAAAUGUCCUAUAUUUUGAUAUUCAAAUAUUGUUAAACAUGCUCCACUCUAUUAUAUAACAGUUAUGUGGUUUACUUUUAUUUCAAGAUUUUUGAGAUACACAGUAUUUAGAAUAAAAAAAAAAUGUCACAAACA